Molecule: non-coding RNA, 273 nt
Organism: Lactuca sativa (garden lettuce)
Lineage: Eukaryota; Viridiplantae; Streptophyta; Magnoliopsida; Asterales; Asteraceae
Source: RefSeq, a predicted model, not a curated record
GUCUAAAAGUUGUAUGUAUUAUCUGAUUUUUACAGGACAUGGUGUUGUGUCAAGGCAUGAAGCAUUGGAACGUGCAAGGAGACACAAUGUUGAUUUAGUUGAGGACCAUGAGGAAUGUCAUGGAAAAACUGGAAAGAGACUUGAUGUUAUCAACCACAUGGUUCUAUGGGGAAAGCUGCAAGGAGGAAUUCAUUGUUAUGUGCAAAUUUGUUGUGGGCUUAAGCCGACAAUUUAACAGAUCGGUCAUACCUUCUGAACGUAAGAUCUAUUCCC